UUCUUUAAAAAUCGUCCUAAGCGUGUAUUUUACGUAAGCGAGCAAAUAUGGAGUUUGUUCCUAUUAGAGCAUAACAAAAAAAUAUCACAAGUGAAUUCUUUAUUUUUUGAAAUUUUUUAUUUUUAUUUUUUUUUUAAAUUAAUAUCCCCAAGUCGCCUCACACCGGACCCAAUAGCUCAGAGCAUGGACAUCAUCAUCAUCAGGAGUCUAAGCAUCCCUCUAUGUUUUCUAUCUACUCUCUGUCGAUCUCCAGGUAACAAUUUCUCAAUUGCUCUCGUGUUUUCUCGCUCUGUAAGUCCUAGUUUUUUUUUUCCUCUGCAGCUUCUAGUGCUUUUUUAUUUGUUUUUUUCUCCACUUAUUUGAUACACAAGCCCAUGAAUCCUUGCUGCUCUUUUGUUGAAACCCCUCUAAUGGGUUUGUGAAAGUGGGGGUCUUUAUUUGCUUGGUAAUUGGUGUGUAGUUCAACUAUGGCGUUGAUUUGAGGAUAUUUUGAAGAUCUAGUGAAGAUUCAUAAAAAAUUUCUGGUAAUUUUUAUUUGUAGCUUCUUGUUUUGGUGGAGGGUAUUCGUCCUUUUUGUGAUUUAUUUUGUGGGUGUCAGCCAAAUCACAAUUUUGCCCAAUUACAAGCUCCAUUUCCUCUGUAUUUUUCCUAACAUUUCUCUCUGUGUUGGGUUCCUUGCUCUGUUUUUUAUUCAUGGGUAUUGUUUGCAGUUGUUCUUUGUUACAAUUAGAUAGAUAUGCUUUAGAGCUGAGUUUGAGUCCGAUCCCGGGGUCUUUUCAUUAGGCAUGUAAUUCUUGGAUUGAUCAUAACCGUUAGUUAACAUCUGUAAGACGGUCCAUUUUCAGUGCCUACCCUCUACUUGUAAUAAAGAGAAGAGAGAUAUAUGUGGCUUUAAAGCUCACUUUAAAUUUACAACAUGCCUGUAAGGUAUUUGAUAAAAUCGCCAUGAAAAACCGGUUUUUUAAUUUAUUAGGAACAGGGUAAAUAUUAGGUAUGCAUGCAUGGUAAGUCGUUUGAUGAAAUUGUUUGCCAAACAAUAAAAAAUACUGAAUUUAUAAAGUUUCUGAAAUAUGAGUUGACAAUCAAAGAGACACAAGAAAAACAUACGAGGAUAAUGUUUUGGUGCAUUUUUGGAUCAUCCAGAAAUAAAGUACAACCUAAAUACAAUGUCAAGAUAGAGGCCAGCUGCAUGCCAACCCAAACAUGGCACAAACCCGUGGGAACGGGCAAAAUUGGCCGCACCCACACUCAAAAAUGAGACAAAGGCUUGGGGAUGGACAUCAAGAACUCCGAUGAUCCACAAGCUACAUGAGCCUAAUCACCGAUCAAUCAGGCGGCAAACAUGCGAUAUAAAGCAGACUGUCAGCAUUUCAAAUACUCAAAUACCUAUAAAAAACCUGUUAAACUGUAUCCGAAUGGAACUGAACAUGGACGGUUACGCUAAAAAUUGGAGUAAGCUAGACUGUUUGUCACUUGAAGAGCUUUCCAACAAUCCAAGUUUUGUCUCAAUCAGAGUUAUGGUUAGCAACAUGCCAAAUAUAAUUGCAGGCUAGACUGCUUGUGGCUAACAGUUCUCCAUAUGCGGAUAUAUCAUGCCCCCUUGCUGCUGAAUAUUGCUGCAUGCAAGUUUAGCACAGACACAUUCGGUUAAACCAUAGCCACAUGCGGCCUGAUUUUAGCUCGGUGCAGUCUCACCACAUGGGGACCUCGAGAGAUGAUAAUUUUGUCUACACAAACCCAAUUUGAUCAUUAAAUCUUAGUUGUCUGUUCAAAAUCUUAUAUACCUUACUUCUUUUUUAUAAAGGAAAAAGUUUAUAUAAGGGCUUAAACAAUCAAAUUAAAGCGCACAUCAAAAAUUCACUAAAAGAGGUUGCUUAGAUGAUAAAAAACCCUCAAUUUGAUCAUCUCGAUCUCAAGAUGCAUGGACAUGAGAGAAAAUAGAUUUCAAGUCUUGAAAAUAGUGUAUCUUUUAAUGUAUUAUUUAGACCGUCAAUUUUCAAGAUUUUCAAGUGUUCAUAAAUCUGCUUAUUCGGCACAAUUUUUUAUUCUUUAAAUUUUUUAACUAGAGAUAAAAAUAAAUUUUUAGGCCAUCAUAAAGCUUUUUUUAUAUUGAAACAACAUGUUUUGGCACUACUUGAAGGUGCGUCUUACUUUAAUUGUUUAGGGCAUCAGCCUUGUACAAACUCCUCUCAGCCUUCAUUCAAUAUAGUUAAGGAAAAUUGAAACCAGGGAUUCUAUCCUAGAGAGAGAAAGCCUCGGAUAUAUGGAGGAGAUGAUAUUGUUCAAAGUUGCUGGUCUAACACACAGAUUCAUGGAUAUUUUGGUUUCAGAGUGUCAAAAAACUUUUAAUUUGAAACAUAAGCCGAUUCAAUAGAAGAGGAAUAGUAAAUAUUUUCUCCAAAAAAUUGUAUCAAGACUCUUCUUAGGAAAUGCCAGGAACCUGAUAGAUCGGAACAAAAGAGAAUAUAGCCCUGAAUAACCAUCAGGGUUUAGAACUACAUUCCGAUACACAAGUAUUUAAAAAUUGAGGGGAUUUAUUGGAGACAAAGAUCAAUAGCAAAAUAGCUAAAAAAUGAGGGGCCUAAAUACAAAUUUUUUUUCACUCUAUUAUAAAUGCUAGAAGUACAAUGAGCUAAAAAAUGAGGGGCCUAAAUACAAAUUUUUUUUCACUCUAUUAUAAAUGCUAGAAGGGCAAUGAAUAGUUUUAAUGGAUUACAUAAUCAUGGUGGAGUUAGAUGAUGAGGAGGUUUGGAAAAAAGCUAUUAUUAAUUUUUCCAAUGAAGCGUUCACCGAUGAGCAGAGGCCAAAAAUUAACCUUAGACGUGUACCAUUUAAAACGUUCCCUCUAACAAAUCCAGAUCAUUUAGAACUUCUUCUCUGUGAAAGUGAUAUAGAAGAGAUAGUUUUCUCUUUGGUGGGUAUAAAGCUCCUGGACUUAGUGGUUUUUCCUUGGCUUUUCUGCAGCUGUGAGUAUUAUUUUAUUUUGAUGGUUGGGGAGUUUUAAAAGUUCGCCUCGCCUUCAAUGAAACUCUGUGUUUUGACGGACUCCGACAUGAUAGUUACUCCUUGAGGAUGAGUCUAUCUUCCCGCAUCAAAGAGUAGCCAUGAGCAUCAGAGCCAACCAACACACAUGGGAGAGAGAGGUACACAAUAGAUGAAGAAAAACUUGUAUUCACUAAUCCGCAAAUGCUUAUAACUCUCUGAGUUACCCCGCAUAUAAAAUGUCUUCUUCCUGGUGUCGGCAAUUUGAUUUACAAUGAAUGGUCUAGAUUUGUACAAGUGAUGAUAAUCCAAAAGCCAGGAAAACUCUAGUCAUUCAAGAAAGAUCUUCUUCUACAAUGUCUUCCUGAGGAUAAAUCAUUAAGUCUUUUUGGACUUCCUUUGACUUCUCUAGAUUUUUCUAGAACUUUCUAGACAAUUAUGAUGAAUUUAGAACCUUCUAGACAAUUAUGAUAAAAAAUACCAGACUAUGUAUAAUAUAUGUACAAAGUUUUGUAGGGAUACCUCACAAAUUAGUUGGGUCUAACAUUCUCUGACAACUAAUUGGGCAUGUUGCACUUUCUUCAUGACACUCCCUGAUCAACUUCUUAGGCACAUACAUCCACUCCAUGAUUCGAACCAUCAAGUUUUUCCCUUAAGUACCACCUCAACUGAAUCCUUUGACAAGAGCUCAUGCUACGGUCCUUCCUUUUUUACCUUGUCACGAACCAGCCCUUGGAGUUGGCAAACAGACGCCAUGAAUUCUAGUUUGUUGCUGCUUGCUUUCUUUAUCCAAUGGGAAAAGUUUAUAUACAACCUAGGAUCUAAAUAAUCAAAUUAGAGCCUACAUCAAAAUUUUCACUAGGAGAUGUUGUUUUGAUGCCCGAAUGUUAUCAAAUUGAUCUUCUUGACAUCAGUAUGCAUUGACAUGAGAAAAAAGUGGAUUUCAAAUUUUGAAAAUAGUGUACUUGUAACGUAUUUUUGGACCG
Molecule: long non-coding RNA, 3968 nt
Filed under: Amborella trichopoda
Lineage: Eukaryota; Viridiplantae; Streptophyta; Magnoliopsida; Amborellales; Amborellaceae
Description: long non-coding RNA (ATRI_LNC003125)
Source: RNAcentral